This 250-nucleotide ribosomal RNA is filed under the name uncultured bacterium. RNAcentral describes it as "partial 16S ribosomal RNA". It matches the Rfam family "Bacterial small subunit ribosomal RNA", at positions 524 to 773 of the family's 1533-position model. The record is from RNAcentral.
UACGUAGGGGGCAAGCGUUGUCCGGAAUCAUUGGGCGUAAAGCGCGUGUAGGCGGUUCGGUAAGUCUGCUGUGAAAGUCCAGGGCUCAACCCUGGGAAGCCGGUGGAUACUGUCGGACUAGAGUACGGAAGAGGCGAGUGGAAUUCCCGGUGUAGCGGUGAAAUGCGCAGAUAUCGGGAGGAACACCAAUUGCGAAGGCAGCUCGCUGGGACGUCACUGACGCUGAGACGCGAAAGCGUGGGGAGCAAAC